GUGUUCACUUUGGAAACACAUAUACUAAAAUUGGAAUGCUUCAGAGAAAAUUAGCAUGAGCCCUGUGCAAAGAUGAAAUGCACAUUCAUGAAGCAUCUCAUAUUUAC
Molecule: small nuclear RNA, 107 nt
Organism: Cavia aperea (Brazilian guinea pig)
Lineage: Eukaryota; Metazoa; Chordata; Mammalia; Rodentia; Caviidae
Source: Ensembl